CGAUGAUUUUAGGCGCGCCUCGGGGGCCAACGGCUGGAGAUGCUAUUAUCCCCAGGCCAGCACAAGCGCACAUCCCUCGCCUCCCCCUUCCCCUCCAGCAAUGGCCGCACCCGCCGGGGUGUAUUUAGCCUGCGGUCGCCAGUUCGUCUGCGGGCUUAAUCUGGGGAAAUAGUUGCAUUUUUAAAGGACAGCAGAUAGAAGACACUGGAGACAAGUAUUGCCUGUGACAUUCUGCUGUAAUGACCACCUGGAGUAUGUGCUUCCGGUUAAAGACGGCACUGCCAGUCAUCGACUCCUCUAGAUCUCCUCGUGUUGAGUGGAGCAAGCAGCAGGAGGAGCAGCCGCUGUUGUACCUGCUAAUUUUGUUCUUCGGGGGUGUAGCAGCAGCAGGAGGAGGAGGAGCAGAUUUGGAUGGAUACACAACCAAGCAGAAGCAGGAUAUUGAGAUUAUAAGGAUGAAAUGUGUGGUGGACCCCAGCAAAAAAGAAAAGAAAAAGAAAUGUGUAGUGGAGAAGAACCAACUUAUCUUCAGUUGGACAACUAUUUACAGCCCUUUGUUUCUGAAAUUUAAGACUAGCUGAUUUAUUGAGAAUUUUCGUCAAGCUGUAAAUUCAUGUUUUUUUAUUUUGUUUGAGUAAACCGAGUUGUACACAUAUGUGACUGUAAAUUAUUAAGACUAGCUGCUUUA
Long non-coding RNA from Aegilops tauschii subsp. strangulata, 688 nucleotides. RefSeq lists it as uncharacterized. NCBI's taxonomy places the organism in Eukaryota, Viridiplantae, Streptophyta, Magnoliopsida, Poales, Poaceae. The record is from RefSeq and is a predicted model, not a curated record.